UGAUCAANCCNGGGGGUGAAAGGCUGUGGCUUANCCAUGGUAAGCCUUUGGAACUGGUCAGCUUGAGUGCAGGAGAGGAAAGCGGAAUUCCUAGUGUAGCGGUGAAAUGCGUAGAUAUUAGGAGGAACACCCGUGGCGAAGGCGGCUUUCUGGACUGUAACUGACGCUGAGGCACGAAAGCGUGGGGAGCAAACAGGAUUAGAUACCNUGGUAGUCCACGCUGUAAACGAUGAAUACUAGGUGUCGGGGGUCAAAGCCCGGUGCCGCAGCUAACGCAUUAAGUAUUCCGCCUGGGGAGUACGGUCGCAAGACUGAAACUCAAAGGAAUUGACGGGGACCCGCACAAGCAGCGGAGCAUGUGGUUUAAUUCGAAGCAACGCGAAGAACCUUACCAGGUCUUGACAUCCCUCUGAAUGGCGCUUAGCAGCGCAGGUCCUUCGGGACAGAGGAGACAGGUGGUGCAUGGUUGUCGUCAGCUCGUGUCGUGAGAUGUUGGGUUAAGUCCCGCAACGAGCGCAACCCUUGCCUUUAGUUGCCAGCACAUCAUGGUGGGCACUCUAGAGGGACUGCCGGUGACAAACCGGAGGAAGGUGGGGAUGACGUCAAAUCAUCAUGCCCCUUAUGAUCUGGGCUACACACGUGCUACAAUGGCCGGUACAACGAGAAGCGAAACCGCGAGGUGAAGCAAAUCUUAUAAAGCCGGUCCCAGUUCGGAUUGCAGGCUGAAACUCGCCUGCAUGAAGUUGGAGUUGCUAGUAAUCGCGGAUCAGCAUGCCGUGGUGAAUGCGUUCCCGGGUCUUGUACACACCGCCCGUCACACCAUGGAAGUUGGGGGGACCCGAAGCCAGUGAUCCAACCGUAAGGAGGAAGCUGUCGAAGGUAAAACCAAUGACUGGGGUGAAGUCGUAACAAGGUAGCCGUAUCGGAAGGUGCGGCUGGAUCACCUCCUU
RNAcentral lists this ribosomal RNA (950 nucleotides) under uncultured bacterium. RNAcentral's name for it is "bacterial SSU rRNA". It matches the Rfam family "Bacterial small subunit ribosomal RNA", at positions 580 to 1532 of the family's 1533-position model. The record is from RNAcentral.